GACGAACGCUGGCGGCGUGCUUAACACAUGCAAGUCGAACGGAAAGGCCCUGCUUUUGUGGGGUGCUCGAGUGGCGAACGGGUGAGUAACACGUGAGUAACCUGCCCUUGACUUUGGGAUAACUUCAGGAAACUGGGGCUAAUACCGGAAAGGGCUCCCGGCUCCAGGGUGGGGGUGGGAAAGUUUCGGCGGUUGGGGUUGGACUCGCGGCUUAUCAGCUUGUUGGUGGGGUAGUGGCUUACCAAGGCUUUGACGGGUAGCCGGCCUGAGAGGGUGACCGGCCACAUUGGGACUGAGAUACGGCCCAGACUCCUACGGGAGGCAGCAGUGGGGAAUAUUGCACAAUGGGCGGAAGCCUGAUGCAGCAACGCCGCGUGCGGGAUGACGGCCUUCGGGUUGUAAACCGCUUUCGCCUGUGACGAAGCGUGAGUGACGGUAAUGGGUAAAGAAGCACCGGCUAACUACGUG
Molecule: ribosomal RNA, 468 nt
Filed under: uncultured bacterium
Lineage: Bacteria
Description: partial 16S ribosomal RNA
Rfam family: Bacterial small subunit ribosomal RNA
Source: RNAcentral